UGCAACAAUUAAAUUUCAAAAAUUUACAACUUCGUUAUAUGAAUUCAAUAUCGAAUUUCGCAAAAUUGUGAUUCAAAUAUAUUUAUUUCGACCAGCAUUGCUAUUAUUUAUUUCAUAAAUAUUCAUAAUUACAUUAAAAGUAUUAAGAUUUUAGAUUCGAUUCACAAACGAAUAAAUUAAUUACAAUUUCUUAAUAAAUAUUUCCACUUGCUUCUCGUAAUUUACACAAGUGGUCCAGAGGACAGCACAGGACGAGUACAAACCGACAAGUUUUGCUGGUCGUUUAAGAGGCCGUUCUGGCAAUUGUUACGAUCGUUGAUAUCGAGUUACACUUCGUAUGUGUACACUGUGAUCUCACACAUGCGCAGUUGUUGCUAAAACAUCCAUGACGUAGAUCAGGUUAAAGUUCUUGCCAAACUCUCGUUAGACAUGAGGAGAGGGAUAGCGAGGAGAGAUUAAUAAGAAAACAGAUAACAUACGCGAGAAAGGUGGUGAUGGAACGAAGAAAAGAGAGAAAUGGAUACGGAUGGAGAGAACACUAUAUUCAAAGUUUAAAAUAAAUCUUAAGUUAAAUUCCAUCUUCUCGGAGGAAAAGCAUAGAGUUGAAGAAACACAUUGGAAGAAAAGAAGAAAGUUUAGAGAACCACGAAACGCAAUAGAAACUAAACGUAAUUGAAUGUCAUGUUUCAUAUCUAUCCUUUCUCGAAAAGAAAUAGCAGCAUUGCAUCGCGGAUCUCUGAAUUCUCGACAUUUUCCAGGAAUCCUUGACUGGAAAUCACGGCAUUCAACCUUGCAUGGUGUUUACUCAAACCAGUGCCUCGUGGAACACACGUUAUAUGCAUGAGACUGAUAUGAGUUCCGGAAAGGAAAGUGCAACUAUAUCGAGCGACGAGGCGUCGAAAGGAAAUGCUUGCUGUAAUGUAAACUCCUUUGCGAUCGAAAAUUUGCAAUCGAAAGUCCGUAUUUCAGAAUAAAAGGUUUUCUAUUUUUAAUUCAUUAUACAAUAUUGCACGCUUGAACAAUCAGAACAAAAUAAUACAUGAAAAGUUCAAAGCUCAUUUUUAUCUUCAAAAAUUGGUGAGCAACAAGUGAAUAAUAAUAUCGAGAGUAACAUCACUUUCUUUUUUUGAAAAUUUUUUCAAUUUAUACCUUUGUUGCAAUCUAUAAUUGUUGUAUCUAUGAUUGAAUAUAAGAAAAUUUCUCAAAUAGUAUCAUGUACAUCAUUAAAAAGACAGAUUAAUAAACGAAAUAAAACAUUGCAAAAAAAUAUUAAGAUUAUUAAUCUGUAGCAAUAUUAACGUUAUUAAUAAAAUGUUUUGUUGCAGAAAGAUAUUAUGAAAGAUUAUAUGCUUGAUCGAUCUCCUGGAGAAAAGUAAUUUUUUAAGACACAUUAAACUUGUUCCCUUCCUCGUGAGCAGUAUUCUCGACAACAUGAAACUUCGACCCCACUUAAGAUCGUGUUUGCGUCGUUCAAAUCGAAUUUGCGAGCAUUUGACAAAUGGUUCAGGCUUGCUUCUGGCAGUUUUCUAAUCUCCUCAGCCUUCGAUUUUAAUUCACCUUGCUUUCUUGGUUACAUGCUGAGAAAAAUCCAUCUUCUGAGAUAUUCUUGGCUGUUACUGGAACAUCUAAGGAACAACAGCGGUUUAAAACAAUUUUUCCCGUCAAUUCCAUCCUAUAAAUUCAUUUUUAUUUCUUUUACUUGGCAUUUAUUACUCCCUACAUAUUCAUUUGAAUGUUCAUAGCCCAUUUGUGGAAAUGAACAGGCGACUAUUUGGCACGUUAAACGCUUUACACAGUAGCAACAGAUGUUGACCUAUUAUUGUGUAAUCUUUUACAUAUUUAAAUGCAAAUUUAAAUGCAUAUUUAAAUACAAAUAGACGUAUCAGAUGUCCAAUCCAAUUUUGAUACGAAUUAUGUUAUUAAUAAUU
Long non-coding RNA from Apis florea (little honeybee), 1928 nucleotides. NCBI's taxonomy places the organism in Eukaryota, Metazoa, Arthropoda, Insecta, Hymenoptera, Apidae. The record is from RefSeq and is a predicted model, not a curated record.